CGAUGACCCGGUGCUUGCACCGGUGAUUAGUGGCGAACGGGUGAGUAACACGUGAGUAACCUGCCCUUAACUCUGGGAUAAGCCUGGGAAACUGGGUCUAAUACCGGAUAUGACUCCUCAUCGCAUGGUGGGGGGUGGAAAGCUUUAUUGUGGUUUUGGAUGGACUCGCGGCCUAUCAGCUUGUUGGUGAGGUAAUGGCUCACCAAGGCGACGACGGGUAGCCGGCCUGAGAGGGUGACCGGCCACACUGGGACUGAGACACGGCCCAGACUCCUACGGGAGGCAGCAGUGGGGAAUAUUGCACAAUGGGCGCAAGCCUGAUGCAGCGACGCCGCGUGAGGGAUGACGGCCUUCGGGUUGUAAACCUCUUUCAGUAGGGAAGAAGCGAAAGUGACGGUACCUGCAGAAGAAGCGCCGGCUAACUACGUGCCAGCAGCCGCGGUAAUACGUAGGGCGCAAGCGUUAUCCGGAAUUAUUGGGCGUAAAGAGCUCGUAGGCGGUUUGUCGCGUCUGCCGUGAAAGUCCGGGGCUCAACUCCGGAUCUGCGGUGGGUACGGGCAGACUAGAGUGAUGUAGGGGAGACUGGAAUUCCUGGUGUAGCGGUGAAAUGCGCAGAUAUCAGGAGGAACACCGAUGGCGAAGGCAGGUCUCUGGGCAUUAACUGACGCUGAGGAGCGAAAGCAUGGGGAGCGAACAGGAUUAGAUACCCUG
This 711-nucleotide ribosomal RNA is filed under the name Arthrobacter humicola. RNAcentral describes it as "bacterial SSU rRNA". It matches the Rfam family "Bacterial small subunit ribosomal RNA", at positions 67 to 789 of the family's 1533-position model. The record is from RNAcentral. Lineage: Bacteria; Bacillati; Actinomycetota; Actinomycetes; Micrococcales; Micrococcaceae.